AGUAGGGUGUUGAAGGUACUGUAUGAAUAAGCACCGGCUAACUCCGUGCCAGCAGCCGCGGUAAUACGGAGGGUGCAAGCGUUAUCCGGAUUUAUUGGGUUUAAAGGGUCCGCAGGCGGGUCUGUAAGUCAGGGGUGAAAUCCGGCAGCUUAACUGUCGAACUGCCUUUGAUACUGCAGGUCUUGAGUGGGAAUGAAGCAGCUGGAAUGUGUGGUGUAGCGGUGAAAUGCUUAGAUAUCACGAGGAACUCCGAUUGCGCAGGCAGCUUACUAAACUACAACUGACGCUCAUGCACGAAGGCGUGGGGAUCAAACAGGAUUAGAUACCCUGGUAGUCCACGCAGUAAACGAUGAUUACUGGUUGUUUGCGAUACAAUGCAAGCGACUGAGCGAAAGCGUUAAGUAAUCCACCUGGGGAGUACGUUCGCAAGAAUGAAACUCAAAGGAAUUGACGGGGGCCCGCACAAGCGGAGGAACAUGUGGUUUAAUUCGAUGAUACGCGAGGAACCUUACCCGGGCUUGAAAUGCAUCCGACCGGCGCCGAGAAGCGCCUUCCCUUCGGGGCGGAUGCGUAGGUGCUGCAUGGUUGUCGUCAGCUCGUGCCGUGAGGUGUCGGCUUAAGUGCCAUAACGAGCGCAACCCUCAUCAUUAGUUACUAACAGGUCACGCUGAGGACUCUAAUGAGACUGCCAUCGUAAGAUGCGAGGAAGGUGGGGAUGACGUCAAAUCAGCACGGCCCUUACGUCCGGGGCGACACACGUGUUACAAUGGGUGGUACAAAGGGCAGCUACAUGGCGACAUGAUGCCAAUCUCCAAAACCACUCUCAGUUCGGAUCGGAGUCUGCAACUCGACUCCGUGAAGCUGGAUUCGCUAGUAAUCGCGCAUCAGCCACGGCGCGGUGAAUACGUUCCCGGGCCUUGUACACACCGCCCGUCAAGCCAUGGAAGCCGGGGGUACCUGAAGUCCGUAACCGUCAAGGAGCGGCCUAGGGUAAAACUGGUAACUGGGGCUAAGUCGUAACAAGGUAGCCGUAAGCUUGGAAAGUCGUAUACAAUCACGACGAAC
This 1065-nucleotide ribosomal RNA is filed under the name uncultured bacterium. Its description in RNAcentral is "bacterial SSU rRNA". It matches the Rfam family "Bacterial small subunit ribosomal RNA", at positions 460 to 1533 of the family's 1533-position model. The record is from RNAcentral.